ACAUGCAAGUCGAACGGAAAGGCCCUUUCGGGGGUACUCGAGUGGCGAACGGGUGAGUAACACGUGGGUGAUCUGCCCUGCACUCUGGGAUAAGCCUGGGAAACUGGGUCUAAUACCGGAUAGGACCAUGGGAUGCAUGUUCUGUGGUGGAAAGCUUUUGCGGUGUGGGAUGGGCCCGCGGCCUAUCAGCUUGUUGGUGGGGUGAUGGCCUACCAAGGCGACGACGGGUAGCCGGCCUGAGAGGGUGUCCGGCCACACUGGGACUGAGAUACGGCCCAGACUCCUACGGGAGGCAGCAGUGGGGAAUAUUGCACAAUGGGCGCAAGCCUGAUGCAGCGACGCCGAGUGGGGGAUGACGGCCUUCGGGUUGUAAACCUCUUUCAGUAUCGGCGAAGCUCCGUGGUUUUCUGCGGGGUGACCGGUAAGGUACAGAAGAAGCACCGGCCAACUACGUGCCAGCAGCCGCGGUAAUACGUAGGGUGCGAGCGUUGUCCG
RNAcentral lists this ribosomal RNA (495 nucleotides) under Mycobacterium terrae. RNAcentral describes it as "Mycolicibacter terrae bacterial SSU rRNA". It matches the Rfam family "Bacterial small subunit ribosomal RNA", at positions 53 to 547 of the family's 1533-position model. Lineage: Bacteria; Bacillati; Actinomycetota; Actinomycetes; Mycobacteriales; Mycobacteriaceae. The record is from RNAcentral.